RNAcentral lists this ribosomal RNA (372 nucleotides) under Triticum aestivum (bread wheat). Its description in RNAcentral is "partial small subunit ribosomal RNA". Lineage: Eukaryota; Viridiplantae; Streptophyta; Magnoliopsida; Poales; Poaceae. The record is from RNAcentral.
AUGAAGCACUUUGACCACACAUGCUCUUCUGAUUACAGUACACACAAGCCGGCCAAGCCAAGUACUAGUCUUCACAAAUUUGCACUUCGGAGUCGGCACCGCCGCCCGCAACCUCCACCGGCGCCGCAGCAGCCGUCGCCGACGGUGGACACCAACCUCCUGCGAGCUGGCGGGUACCCUACUACAGCUUCGGCCAUGACUUCCCUUCUCCGCCUUGCCGUCGAGAAGGCAGCGUGCACGUCCGUCCUGGCCUUUGCACCUGAGCUGUUCGAUGAAAUGCCAUGCACGCUGGUGAUGUCCAAAAACGUUGUCACCUGGUGUACAGAGCUUCUCUUCCCAGGCUCAGGUUAUCAGGUACAUUACCCCUGCUGA